RNAcentral lists this small RNA (276 nucleotides) under Arabidopsis thaliana (thale cress). Its description in RNAcentral is "ATSL264700". The record is from RNAcentral. Lineage: Eukaryota; Viridiplantae; Streptophyta; Magnoliopsida; Brassicales; Brassicaceae.
AAUGUUUGGUUUGUAAUAUUCAGAUUUGAAGUGUUUGGUUAUGUUUUUAUAUAUAAUAUCGACCAAAUUAAAGUGUCAACGUAUAAGAAAACAUAUAAACAUACCAAAACUUAAAAAUUUCGAAAUUCAAAACUCGAGCGUUGGUAAUAAGUAGCUAAUUGGUUGCAAAGUGCGACUGUGUUCUGUUGUCGUCGCAAAAACGUUGCACCUAGCGACUGUUUUGUGACAUUUUUGAAAUAUUUUACAAAUAAAAAUGCUCGUUAGUCCCUAUUCGGU